Molecule: ribosomal RNA, 497 nt
Filed under: uncultured bacterium
Lineage: Bacteria
Description: partial 16S ribosomal RNA
Rfam family: Bacterial small subunit ribosomal RNA
Source: RNAcentral
GAUGAACGCUGGCGGCGUGCCUAAUACAUGCAAGUCGAGCGAACGGACGACAAGCUUGCUUUUUUGAUGUUAGCGGCGGACGGGUGAGUAACACGUGGAUAACCUACCUAUAAGACUGGGAUAACUUCGGGAAACCGGAGCUAAUACCGGAUAAUAUUUUGAACCGCAUGGUUCAAAAGUGAAUGACGGUCUUGCUGUCACUUAUAGAUGGAUCCGCGCUGCAUUAUCUAGUUGGUAAGGUAACGGCUUACCAAGGCAACGAUGCAUAGCCGACCUGAGAGGGUGAUCGGCCACACUGGAACUGAGACACGGUCCAGACUCCUACGGGAGGCAGCAGUAGGGAAUCUGCCGCAAUGGGCGAAAGCCUGACGCAGCAACGCCGCGUGAGUGAUGAAGGUCUUCGGAUCGUAAAACUCUGUUAUUGGGGAAGAACAUAUGUGUAAGUAACUGUGCACAUCUUGACGGUACCUAAUCAGAAAGCCACGGCUAACUACGUG